GUCUCAGCUUAACUGUCACUGCCCAGGGAGAUCUUCCCUCAGCCGCACAGCAGGCUGGCUCACUCUAUGGUAUACUUGCAUGGUGUUCUAUCUCUCCCCUUUAUAACACUAAUGAUCAUUGUAACUUGACCGUUAAGUGUGUAAUCAUUGAAUGUUUGUUUUUCACUCCCUGCCUCCUAACUCCAGAUUAGAAGGCCCAUGAGAACAGGAUCUGCAUCUGUUCUGUUCACUACUUUAUUGAAAUGGCUUUACCUACAUUACUUCAUCUAGUUUCACAAUCUUGUGAGGCAGACAUUCUCAUCUCCUAGUUGACAGAGGAGAAAACUGAAAACUCAGAUGUGUGGUAGAGUCAAUAUUUGAGCACAGUUCCAUCUAUAUUACUGAAGGGUUAAAAGAGCUAAUUCAUUUUUUGGGGAUUUGGAGUCUCAAGACCAGAACUUAGUAAGCUGCUUGACCAAAGGCUGAAAAAAUUAUGAUUUAAUAUAAGGAACUGAAGACACAGCUUUUGGAAAAGCUGAAAGCCUCUUUGAUGUUGGAAGCACACCCUGUCAUGCAUAGCGUGCUGGGUAAGAAGAUGGCUGAAGACGACUUUACCGACAGGAUAAUCGCUCCAGCAGACAGAUGGAAGGGGGAAGGGGGUCUGGCUUUGUACCUGUAAGUGCAGCUGCACCUUCCUUGAUGAAGCUGUUCUGCACUCUAGAAUCUCUCAUUCGGUUUGCUCAAGUAAUCCAGAUUUGAAUAAACAGUCACUGUGUGGAAGCUAA
Long non-coding RNA from Felis catus (domestic cat), 764 nucleotides. RefSeq lists it as uncharacterized. The transcript has 2 exons. The record is from RefSeq and is a predicted model, not a curated record. Lineage: Eukaryota; Metazoa; Chordata; Mammalia; Carnivora; Felidae.